This 1232-nucleotide long non-coding RNA is filed under the name Chrysemys picta bellii (western painted turtle). RNAcentral describes it as "lncRNA (ENSCPBG00000024220.1)". The record is from RNAcentral. Lineage: Eukaryota; Metazoa; Chordata; Testudines; Emydidae.
GUUCUAUUCAUUCUUUCCACCUGUGCCAAGCUUUGGGGGUGUCCUACUAUAUGUAAUCUUUGCUUAAUGUGGUUAACAACUAUUUAAACAACCAUAACAAAUGCAUGAUAAAGUAAAAGGAAAAUGUAUUAAUACCUGCAUUAUUUUUAAUCUUCCUGUAUUCAGAAUACUGAUUUAUUUAUUGGACCAUUUAAGAAAUAGGUGACACCUAUGUUUACCAAUGUAUUUUAACUGAUUGCUUCCUUAAACAGCAUAUGCACUGUGGGUCUUCCCUAGGUAUCUUGAUCUAAAUAUGCCACCAAGCCAGCUUGGUCUUGUGCCGACUCUUGGGGGGAGGGAGGAAUCAUCUGACCUUCCUAUGCUAUCUUCUUGGAAGGCAGGGUCACUUCUGACACCUUUUCAGGCUUCUUUCUCAGACAUGGUCAUCCUUUCUUUUGUAUUUUAAAUACAGCUUUUCCUGCAUUAUUCAUAACAGCACCUGAAUUAUUACAUACCACUGCGGUUUCCAUUACCAAAUCUAAUUCCAAAUUUUGAAUUAACUCUGAAUUUCCAUACACCAAUUCCCAAGUUAUACAUGGCUCUGGUUUUUCCUCUAAUCACUGUUUCUUUUCAGGAAAGUGUCCCCUCCUGGAAAAAAAAGACUUCACCGCUUCCUUUUCUAGGCAGUUAGCAUUACCUCCAUAGGGGAAUUUAGAAAAGUUCUCUGAACUCCUACUAGGGCUAACCUGUUCCUUUUUCCCUAGAUUAUGAGCAUAGCUAUCUCAAUGCUCACCACAGCACUGCUUCCCUGAGUGGGAGCUACACUGUUAAUUACCUGCACAGCCUGCAGCUCCUUUUCCAAGCAAGUUGUUUUCUGCCAGCAAUGUGCCUGGUCAGUCACAAUCAGAACCAGAGCUACUGCUGCCUGUGUGGCAGUCCACUUUUCUCUUAAACAGCAGUCCUAUUCACUUAAUGUUCUGCUGCUGCUUAUUGCAAGUGAGCUGCAGCUUUUUAAUCUGCAGCGCAUCCUCUAUAACUUUCCCUUGUGGAGAUCUCCGCCUUAAACGGAGCCUUUUCCCUACGAUAAAACGCCAGGUGCUGCUGGAUCUGAUCUAGGGACUCUCCCAACCUUUCUCAUUCCUCUAAUUUUUGUAUUCUUAAAUUGUUAACCAUAGCUGAGAUAUCUGUUCCUGCUAUCCCAGGCAUAUCAGACCUCUUAGCCAACCAGCUGGUUGCUAUAUCCUCAUUCAGGG